This is a non-coding RNA of Triticum aestivum (bread wheat), 135 nucleotides long. NCBI's taxonomy places the organism in Eukaryota, Viridiplantae, Streptophyta, Magnoliopsida, Poales, Poaceae. The record is from Rfam.
GUACUCCUCCCUCCGUCCCAAAAUUCUUGUCUUAUGUUUGUCUAGAUACGGAUGCAUCUAAUACUAAAACGCGGCUUGAUACAUCCGCAUUUAGACAAAUUUAAGACAAGAAUUUUGGGAUGGGGGGAGUAGUAC